RNAcentral lists this ribosomal RNA (483 nucleotides) under uncultured bacterium. Its description in RNAcentral is "bacterial SSU rRNA". It matches the Rfam family "Bacterial small subunit ribosomal RNA", at positions 28 to 507 of the family's 1533-position model. The record is from RNAcentral.
GACGAACGCUGGCGGCGUGCCUAACACAUGCAAGUCGAGCGGAGUCGAUCGACGGAAGCCUUCGGGCGGAAGAUGGUUGACUUAGCGGCGGAUGGGUGAGUAACGCGUGGGCAACCUGCCUCGAAGACCGGGAUAACAGCCCGAAAGGGCUGCUAAUACCGGAUGUGGUCAAGGAUCCGCAUGGAUUUUUGAUUAAAGGGGAAACCCGUUUCGAGAUGGGCCCGCGUCCUAUCAGCUAGUUGGUGAGGUAAAAGCUCACCAAGGCGACGACGGGUAGCCGGCCUGAGAGGGUGACCGGCCACACUGGAACUGAGACACGGUCCAGACUCCUACGGGGGGCAGCAGUGGGGAAUCUUCCACAAUGGGCGAAAGCCUGAUGGAGCGACGCCGCGUGAGCGAAGAAGGCCUUCGGGUUGUAAGACUCUGUCUGGAGGGACGAAGGAAGUGACGGUACCUCCGGAGGAAGCCACGGCUAACUACGUG